UUGUCCUCGUCCAAAUCGAUUUGAUAAGGCUGAGAGAAACCAGGCGUGAUCAUAUGCUUGAGCUAGAAAUCGAAUUGGAGAUGGGCACUAGCUACUUUAAUCCGACCUGGAGAAGGAGCCUUGAUGUCCGACUCCAUACAAAUAGGGAACUGAUCAUCUUGAUUCUACAGUGUUCAACAGAGACUCGAACUGGGUUCAAAGCUUGGCCGAUCUUGAUUUGCAUGCAAAAGCAAAACUGGGUUGACUUCUCAAUCUGACUCGGUUGCUUCGCUACUGCUCAAUUUCACUUCACCACUGCCUCUGUAUUCAAGGGGCAGAUCGACUUGUUUAGUUGACACAGCUGCAGAGAAGAUCGGAACCAAAGAUUAAGGGUGAGGCUCUUAUUGAUUUGCUUGUUACGGUUGGUGUUUAGCUUGGUAGGAGUUUAGUGUUUGUAUUUCUGGUUUUGAAAGUGGUGGAAGAAGAAAGGCAGAAGCAGGGGAUUGCUGAAUUUGCAGGGAGCGAAGAUGGCAUUUUGUGCAGACUGUUCUUUUUCUUCUUUUUUAGCGUCGGAACUUGCCGUUCAUGAACGACUUUAUGUUCCUGUGCUAGGAAUUGCAGCAGCUAAGUGCGUUGAGACUCCGGCCGUUCAUGAACGACCAUAUAUGUCUCAACGGAGGAGAAAAUCACCAUGAAGUUGGCCGUUCAUGAACGACCAUGUAUUUCUUGAUAACUUAAGAGAGACUCAACAAAAGAAAGAAGGUUGUUCAUGAACAGCCUAUCUUUUGUUGACAGCAAGCAUUCCGGACGAUGUAUUUCUCUCUGGGUACAGCAAGGAUGCGUAGUAUACCUGAGCGUCGUCUUUGGAGCUUGAAUGGUUGCCGGAUCUGCUUUGAUUUUGGCAGAACUUUAGCUUCUUGCUUGAUGAUUUUUUUCUACUCUCUCUCUCCGUGUGUGUCUCUGUGUGUAUUUCUUUCCAUGUUAUUGUCCUUUUAUAAUAGUAUAGCUGCUCCUCAGAUAACUUUGCCUUCCGCAGGACUUGUAACUUUGAAAUUUGAAUGACAAACUUUGAAUUUUGGAUAACAAGCUUAUCUUGUAUUUUGACCAGCAACAAUCCCGAGUUUGCUUCACGUUUGAAGUCUUUUUCAAAGCUAGUAAACUUUGACUGUCAGCA
Rosa chinensis is the source of this 1153-nucleotide long non-coding RNA. RefSeq lists it as uncharacterized. The transcript is spliced from 4 exons. Lineage: Eukaryota; Viridiplantae; Streptophyta; Magnoliopsida; Rosales; Rosaceae. The record is from RefSeq and is a predicted model, not a curated record.